This 253-nucleotide ribosomal RNA is filed under the name uncultured bacterium. RNAcentral describes it as "partial 16S ribosomal RNA". It matches the Rfam family "Bacterial small subunit ribosomal RNA", at positions 524 to 776 of the family's 1533-position model. The record is from RNAcentral.
UACAGAGGGGGCAAGCGUUAUUCGGAAUUAUUGGGCGUAAAGGGCGCGUAGGCGGCUUGGCAAGUGGAUGGUGAAAUCCCUCGGCUUAACCGAGGAACUGCCAUCCAGACUGCUUUGCUUGAGGCCGGGAGAGGUAAGUGGAAUUCCCAGUGUAGCGGUGAAAUGCGUAGAUAUUGGGAGGAACACCAGUGGCGAAGGCGGCUUACUGGACCGGUUCUGACGCUGAGACGCGAAAGCGUGGGGAGCGAACAGG